AGUUCUUGGCAGCUCUGGCGUUCAGUUCCUGGAGGUUCCAGACCUAAAGGCACUGGGGAACCUAGAAAUGGAGGCUUCCUUCAGAGGCCAGGAUGGAACCAUGUCUUCCUGGGCUGCCUUGGCAUGGACUACACAGGACACUUCUGCUUCUGAGCCGCUGGUCCAGGAAGUUGCUCGGGUGCACAGCCUAAGAAGACCGACAGAGAAGGCUUGAUCAGCAUAAGCUGCAAUCAUCCUCUCUUUCCCCA
RNAcentral lists this long non-coding RNA (248 nucleotides) under Ictidomys tridecemlineatus (thirteen-lined ground squirrel). RNAcentral describes it as "lncRNA (ENSSTOG00000029349.1)". Lineage: Eukaryota; Metazoa; Chordata; Mammalia; Rodentia; Sciuridae. The record is from RNAcentral.